GGUCUGGUGGCACAACCGGUAGUGUGCCAUCACAGAGUACACUAUUCCGCACUCUUCACAACGGAGGUCCCCGUUCGAUCCGAGGUCAGGCCC
Molecule: non-coding RNA, 93 nt
Organism: Mycena polygramma
Lineage: Eukaryota; Fungi; Basidiomycota; Agaricomycetes; Agaricales; Mycenaceae
Source: the annotation of a GenBank genome assembly